GUAGACCCGAAACCGGGCGACCUACCCAUGAGCAGGAUGAAGCGAAAGUAAAAUUUCGUGGAGGUCCGAACCCACGAGCGUUGAAAAGCUCGGGGAUGACUUGUGGAUAGCGGUGAAAUUCCAAUCGAGCCCGGAGAUAGCUGGUUCUCCCCGAAAUAGCUUUAGGGCUAGCCUCAAGGUGAGAGAUACGGAGGUAGAGCACUGAAUGUCCUAGGGGGUAUUGCACCUACCGAAGACUAUCAAACUCCGAAUGCCGUCAUCUUAUACUUGGGAGUCAGACUGUGGGUGAUAAGAUUCAUAGUCGAAAGGGCAACAGCCCAGAUCGUCAGCUAAGGUCCCUAAAUGUAAGUUAAGUGGUAAAGGAUGUGGGAUUGCACAGACAACCAGGAUGUUGGCUUAGAAGCAGCCACUCAUUCAAAGAGUGCGUAAUAGCUCACUGGUCGAGUGAUCCUGCGCCGAAGAUUUCCGGGGCUAAAACUUACUACCGAAGCUACGGCAUCAGUAAUGAUGGGUAGGGGAGCUUCCCAUACGGGUUGAAGCGUGACCGUAAGGACAUGUGGACAGUAUGGGAGUGAGAAUGUUGGCAUGAGUAGCGAGAUGUGGGUGAGAAUCCCACAGGCCGUAAACCCAAGGUUUCCAGGGGAAGGUUCGUCCGCCCUGGGUUAGUCGGGACCUAAGCUGAGGCCGAAAGGCGUAGGUGAUGGACAACAGGUUGAUAUUCCUGUACUACCGAUAACCGUUUGAGAGAAGGGAUGACACAGUAGGAUAAGCUAAGCACACUGUUGGUUAUGUGUGCCCAAGCAUUGAGGCAGUCAAAGUAGGCAAAUCCGCUUUGAUAAUGCUGGGAUGUGAUGGGGAGCGAAAUUUAGUAGCGAAGUAGCUGAUUUCACACUGUCAAGAAAAGUCUCUAUCGAGGUUAAAGGUACCCGUACCGCAAACCGACACAGGUGGGUGAGGAGAGUAUCCUAAGGCCAGCGAGAGAACUGUUGUUAAGGAACUCGGCAAAAUGACCCCGUAACUUAGGGAUAAGGGGUGCCACCAUCAGGUGGCCGCAGAGAAUAGGCCCAAGCGACUGUUUACCAAAAACAUAGGUUUCUGCUAAGUCGCAAGACGAUGUAUAGGAGCUGACGCCUGCCCGGUGCUGGAAGGUUAAGGGGAUCUGUUAGAGCAAUCGAAGCAGUGAACUUAAGCCCCAGUAAACGGCGGCCGUAACUAUAACGGUCCUAAGGUAGCGAAAUUCCUUGUCGGGUAAGUUCCGACCCGCACGAAAGGCGUAACGAUUUGGGCACUGUCUCAACAACAGACUCGGUGAAAUUGUAAUUCCGGUGAAGAUGCCGGAUACCUGCGACAGGACGGAAAGACCCCAUGGAGCUUUACUGUAGCUUGACAUUGGGUCUUGGUACUACAUGUACAGGAUAGGUGGGAGGCUUUGAAACCAGGACGCCAGUUUUGGCGGAGCCAUCCUUGGGAUACCACCCUUGUAGUACUGGGACUCUAACCAUAGGCCAUGAAUCUGGUCUUGGGACACUGUCAGGUGGGCAGUUUGACUGGGGCGGUCGCCUCCCAAAAGGUAACGGAGGCGCUCAAAGGUUCUCUCAGUACGGUCGGAAAU
Molecule: ribosomal RNA, 1612 nt
Filed under: Clostridioides difficile
Lineage: Bacteria; Bacillati; Bacillota; Clostridia; Peptostreptococcales; Peptostreptococcaceae
Description: bacterial LSU rRNA
Rfam family: Bacterial large subunit ribosomal RNA
Source: RNAcentral